CGAUGUGAGGGCCAUCUGCCUGUGACACCUGUCACCACACUGAUCUCCAGCCUUGAGUCAGCCCAUGUGCCUGCCCAAGCCCAUGUCCCCUUCCUCACCCAGCGCUCCAUAUGUGCUCCCAAAGCUGCUGGGGCACAGAGGACGACCUCCCCGAUACAGACAGUACAUUUUAUCACUCAAGGCCAUUUGGCAGCUGUGAUCUCGGCUACAACCUCCCAACCUGCCCAAGGCACUAGAGCUGCAUUACUAGGAGGGCUUUCCCAGUAGUCAUAAAUAAAAUUUUGCACAAAAGAAGACUGAAAUAGGGUGUGAAAAUGGGAGGCAUCCAUGU
Molecule: small nuclear RNA, 331 nt
Filed under: Cyanistes caeruleus (blue tit)
Lineage: Eukaryota; Metazoa; Chordata; Aves; Passeriformes; Paridae
Description: 7SK RNA (ENSCCEG00000009208.1)
Rfam family: 7SK RNA (bases 1-283)
About the family: 7SK was discovered as an abundant small nuclear RNA in the mid-70s but a possible function has only recently been suggested. Two independent studies have found that 7SK RNA binds the CDK9/cyclin T complex (known as elongation factor P-TEFb).
Source: RNAcentral